GCCCCUGUAGCUCAGGUGGAUAGAGCACCAGCCUCCGAAGCUGGGUGCGGGCGUUCAAGUCGCCCCAGGGGCGC
RNAcentral lists this transfer RNA (74 nucleotides) under subsurface metagenome. RNAcentral's name for it is "tRNA-Arg". It matches the Rfam family "tRNA". From Rfam's summary of the family: Transfer RNA (tRNA) molecules are approximately 80 nucleotides in length. Their secondary structure includes four short double-helical elements and three loops (D, anti-codon, and T loops). Further hydrogen bonds mediate the characteristic L-shaped molecular structure. tRNAs have two regions of fundamental functional importance: the anti-codon, which is responsible for specific mRNA codon recognition, and the 3' end, to which the tRNAs corresponding amino acid is attached (by aminoacyl-tRNA synthetases). tRNAs cope with the degeneracy of the genetic code in two manners: having more than one tRNA (with a specific anti-codon) for a particular amino acid; and 'wobble' base-pairing, i.e. permitting non-standard base-pairing at the 3rd anti-codon position. The record is from RNAcentral.